UGGGGAAUAUUGGGCAAUGGGCGAAAGCCUGACCCAGCAACGCCGCGUGAGGGAAGAAGGCCUUCGGGUUGUAAACCUCUGUCCUUGGUGACGAAAAAAAUGACGGUAGCCAAGGAGGAAGCCCCGGCUAACUACGUGCCAGCAGCCGCGGUAAUACGUAGGGGGCGAGCGUUGUCCGGAAUUACUGGGCGUAAAGGGUGCGUAGGUGGCCUUUUAAGUUGGAUGUGAAAUCCCCGGGCUUAACUUUGGUGGUGCAUCUAAUACUGGAGGGCUAGAGUGCAGGAGAGGGAAGCGGAAUUCCUAGUGUAGCGGUGAAAUGCGUAGAUAUUAGGAGGAACACCAGUGGCGAAGGCGGCUUUCUGGACUGUAACUGACACUGAGGCACGAAAGCGUGGGGAGCAAACA
RNAcentral lists this ribosomal RNA (405 nucleotides) under uncultured prokaryote. RNAcentral describes it as "bacterial SSU rRNA". It matches the Rfam family "Bacterial small subunit ribosomal RNA", at positions 355 to 774 of the family's 1533-position model. The record is from RNAcentral.